UAGAUAAAUACAAUCUGCCAUACAUUCCAAACAGUAAGCAUGUUCUAAAUAGUAUAGUUAAUAUUUCACAGACUGUUGUUCUUAGGUUGAACAAUAUGAAAGUGAAAGCAAAAGACCAUAAUUAACAGAUGAGAUAACCUAUACCAAGCAUUAACAAUAUAUCAUAGUGUGCAUGCAUUGUCAAAUUAUUUGUAAAUGUGAACUCGAUUUAAACGGUGGCAAUAUGAAACCACAUUAUAUCAUAUUGUUGGUUUUUAUGCUUGCGCAGCACACUCACACCAGCGCAUUUCACUAUACAUUACUUCUCUCUAACAGUAUGACAAAAAGUUGCACGUGUUUGUAAUUGUGAUCGACAUUAUUGAAUAGAACAUGCAUCGCGUGUUCCUAAUUUCUCGUAAAAUGUUUUAGAAAGGUCUGUUAUCUUUUUAUUCGUUUUUGCCAAAUAACAUUAGCACUUGCACUUGCAAAACUGAAUAUUUAAAAUAUGUUUUGUAUCCGCUGGCACUUUAAUAUAGUCUAAUUUAAUUUGUUUUCAGCGUUUAUGAAUCUUUGAAUAAAAACUAAAAUAAUAUAUAAUCGAGAUUUUGUUUAAAUUGAGCGUAGGUCCAGGUAGGACAUUCUCGAAUGUUACGCGAGUUUCGCAUAACAACAGUGAAAAUCACCACUUCAUCAUCGCGAGAUAAAAGUUGAUCCGAACCGGGACGGGAUCCGAACAACAAAUUCGCAAGUCCACUAAAAAAACGGUCCAUUUUCAACCCCAGAAGCAGAAGCAUCUUGAAGCCUGUCUUGAAGGUUGCAGAAAAUCGUCGGAUACGUCAUACUCGGAAGAUCGGUGCCGAAUAGGCCGAGAAUAGGCAAUCUGCCGCUGAAGGAAGACCCUAAACUGAUUCGAAUCAGAUCCGGCAACAUCCGUAGAACAGCGUUAUAAAAGAAGGAGGAACCUCGAAUUGUUCACAGGCCGGGUGUGAAACCCGCUGCCGGAUUCGGUCAACCGAGUGCAGCAACCAGGCUUCUCUUACUCUCACUCUGUAAUGAAGGUGCCAGCAAAGAAGGAAGAGCCUUCAAACAAUAGUUCUGACGACCAUGAGGAAGAACCCAAAUCAGCACCGGCGAAAGCUGCAGCUGUACCGAAAAACGAGGAAGAAGAGCCAACAGUGGAACCUUUGUGAAUCCACGAAUAUAAGAAACCGGACACAAACAGUUGUUGCUACCUACCGUGGCUGCCAAGCAACAGAUUCUGACCAAGUACAAAGUCGAGUGGAGGUUCUAGCGAUCGCUAGCCUCGAGGCGCUAGAGGAACAACCGCCGGUAAAAGGAAGCCGUAGCGGUGACUUCUUCAAAGAAAAAUCUUGAAUCGUCCAGCGUAGAUUCUUCGGAUUCCGACGCGGAAUUCAAAGGGGAACUAGCCGACAAAGAGGUCAGUGUGUCAGUCAGUUCAACAACUAUGCGUUGUCGGCGUUAAUGCAAG
Aedes albopictus (Asian tiger mosquito) is the source of this 1468-nucleotide long non-coding RNA. RefSeq lists it as uncharacterized. NCBI's taxonomy places the organism in Eukaryota, Metazoa, Arthropoda, Insecta, Diptera, Culicidae. The record is from RefSeq and is a predicted model, not a curated record. The transcript is spliced from 3 exons.